RNAcentral lists this long non-coding RNA (888 nucleotides) under Ictidomys tridecemlineatus (thirteen-lined ground squirrel). Its description in RNAcentral is "lncRNA (ENSSTOG00000033861.1)". The record is from RNAcentral. Lineage: Eukaryota; Metazoa; Chordata; Mammalia; Rodentia; Sciuridae.
GUCCCCAGGGUCCAGCAUGCCUGGCUCCUCCUCCUCGGCCUCUGCUGUCCCCUUCUCCUGCCCCCGCCCCAGCGUCUAGCACCAGGAUUUGUCUUCCUUCUCGGCAGGCAGUGUCCACUGGACAGCUGCUGCCUGUUUGCUGGUGGAGCAAACGCACGUCCAGUAGGUGCCCAGCAAACGCUUACUGAGUGACUGAGACGGGGAAGGGGCUCCCGCGGAGAGGGGCGGCCGCCCGGGCCCAGGCUGGACGCCCACCUGUGUCCCUGCUCCCACCCGGGCCGAGCGGCGCGCUCAGGGGCGGCGGCCCUGUCCCCGAGGACCGCCCUGGCGCAGUCGGCCUCCCGCGGCACCGCGCGCUGCGGGCCGGGGCGCGACGCUGUUCCCCGCGGCGGCGAAGCGACCUCUGUCCGUUCCCCCAACAAGCGUUAGUCCUGCGUCUGCGCCGUGCCGGGCGCCGGGGGAUCCGGCGGGGACAGUGCGCAGUGCCUGGCUGACAAGGAUCGAGCAAAAAACAGCCACCUUAAAAUGCCAUUUAGCCAAAUCCGAUUUAUUUUGCAAGAAAAUAAAAAGGUUUAACCCCCUGGAAUGGACGGGAAGGGGCAGGGGAGACAAGUUACCUUAAAGAAGAGUUCCAGGGAGGCCUUGGCAAAGCUCGUCCUCGUUAGUAUAGUGCCACAACUCUUGGGUUUACCGCUUGCAACUGAGCUUUUAAAACCAGGUGUGAACUCUUCAGGGUGAAGCCCCUGGUGUCUUAAAUGUUCCUUGUUAGAGCUGAAGAAGAGGAGCAGUUAGCAGGGAAAUGUCAAGGCAGACCCUAAUUUGAUGAUUGACAGCACAGCAAACGUGAGCAGGACAGUCAUUUGGAGGUUUCUGCGCCUGGCAUUGAGG